Molecule: transfer RNA, 74 nt
Filed under: Dermacentor silvarum
Lineage: Eukaryota; Metazoa; Arthropoda; Arachnida; Ixodida; Ixodidae
Description: transfer RNA serine (anticodon CGA)
Rfam family: tRNA
About the family: Transfer RNA (tRNA) molecules are approximately 80 nucleotides in length. Their secondary structure includes four short double-helical elements and three loops (D, anti-codon, and T loops).
Source: RNAcentral
UCCUGGUUAGCUCAGAUGGUAGAGCGACCGCCCCGAAAAGCCGUUGGUCCCGGGUUCGAAUCCCGGACCAGGAU